CAGAGUAGAAGCCGGUGCGUAAAGUGUUUCGCGGACGGGGAGUUGCCGCGAAAACGAAGGUAUACAACUGCGGUGCCGGUUUCGCAUCCCGCUGU
Molecule: non-coding RNA, 95 nt
Filed under: uncultured Ruminococcus sp.
Lineage: Bacteria; Bacillati; Bacillota; Clostridia; Eubacteriales; Oscillospiraceae
Description: THF riboswitch
Rfam family: THF (Tetrahydrofolate) riboswitch aptamer
About the family: THF riboswitch presents a pseudoknot that joins P1-P2 and the loop of P3 and two THF binding.
Source: RNAcentral